ACUCGUGGAUUCCAUAUUUGUAAAUCCACGUGCCACUAAAAUUUAUUUAUCACUUGAAAAUGGGUGUUCGAGGCAUUUGUAGUCAUUUGCAUAUAUGCAAAACAGCAACAACAACUAAAAGGAAAAAAGGAAAAAAAAAGGGUUUUCCAGUGGACUCAUUCCUAGGAUGUGGCUGUUCAAGGCUUCUUGUUCCAGUGUCACGGUCUUUAGUGUCAUGUGUUUAUGUGCCCGCACUUUGCUCAGUGACUCUGCUACCUAAAAUGGCCCUCUAGAGGGACAUCAGCAAGAUGGCUGGUUAUAGACAGACUCCAGCUUUGCUUCCUCCCUCAACAAAGAAUGAAAACAAGGAAAAGCAGAACCAGCCACCUCCCUGAAAUGCAGUGGGGUCAGAUGUGUCGCAGAGCUCGGAGGGCCAUGGAAAUAGACUUGGAAAGGUGCGAGUUAACACACACACACAGCACAGCAUCUGCAGCCAGUCUCCUAACCAACCCUGAAUCAAGGGCAGUGGUCCCUACCCUUCCUAGUGCUUCAACCCUUCAAUACUGUGCCUCACUUUGUGGUGACCCCUACCCAUAAAGUGAUUUUUAUUGCUACUUCAUAACUAUUGACUUUGCUACUGUUACGAAUCAUAAGGUAGAUGUCUGAAAUGCUGAAUAUAUUUUCCUUGUCACAAACUGACCCGCAGGGGUCACGACCCACAAGUUGUGAAGUGCUGAUCAAGGGAGAAUGAGCAUAAGAACCCAGCAGUCUGCGCUCACCAGAUACCGGAUACGUGUUAGAAAAGCCUGCAGCCCACACAGGUCAAGGAAAGAGCCCACCCGCCAUCUCGAAGUUCAAGUCACACAGCCAGGACAUAGUCUGCCAGCUCAGCCUUGUGAACCAGUCUGGUAGCCCCUCAUCCCUGGAAGUUCCCUGAGCAACCCACCCUGAAUAGCUUAGUUUACAGAGGUCCCUCUAACAGGUGGCUGGCUCUUCCUAACUUCCUGUUGCCCUCGAACCACCUGACCAUUCAUAGCGGCCCACCCCUAGCUACAGGAAGCAUCCCAGCAACCAGCUAGUGGCUGAGGCCCACAGUGACAUAGUAACAGUAAGUCUCUGGGAAGCUUGACCCACAGAGGCCCCGCUGGGAAGAGUGACCCACUCCUCCGUACCCUUAAAAGCAGCCAGCAAUCCAUUGAGACUUCUAGAAACCAGUUCUGUGACCUUGCUCAUUCUCCUCCGGCCCCAGGUAGCCACUGGACACACUCUGUUCUCAGUUUCCUCUCAAGGAAGCUCUAAGAAGCAGACUGGACCCCACCUACCUAUUAUCAGACCAGGAACCUGCCAGAGAGCGGGUCCUGAGUAUAUUAGCUUCCAGAGGGCCUGCAAAUCUAUCCCUGCAGCCCUCAGAUACUCACAGGAGCCCUGAUGAGUUCUGCUUAUUUGCAAUGCUCAAAUAUUAGCAGGCACUUUGCUCCCAAGCGUGCUCUCCUGCACUCAGCCAGACCCUCGGGGACAGCAUGACCUCUGUCACAGAACAGACGGGCACCCCACAUCCAGAUCCACUGCAGAGCUGCCAGCAAACACGCUUCCCCCGAGAGAGCCGCUUGUCAGCUGGCAGUGAGUUAGUUCUACAUGCUCUGCAGCGUGAACCUCCAAGACACCCACAUAUGUUGCAGAUGUUGAUUACAACUGAAGAAGUUGCAUGACUAAAACAUCUGCCCGGAGCCUACGCUAAACAGCCUGCCAUUGCACAGAUUGCCAGGAAAAAGCCCCGCUGUAGAAACCACCCUGUAAAACUGGUAGUCGGUGGUUCUGCCAGCUGGAUAGACAUCCAAGCCAACACACGAGAGAAACAUUUUUAAGAUGUAAUGGAACCACAUAGUAAAUUCAGCAACGGACUCCACAAAGAAAAGGAACUUAAUUACCUGACAGAAUUCAAAAGUGUAAUUCCAAGAAGUUAAAUGAGCUGUGAAAGCAUAUGAACGAUUCGAUGGAAUUAGGAAACUAGAUUAUCAUGUGUAUAAGGAACUUAGCAAGGAGCAGGAGAUCAAAUAAAAACCAAAGGGAAAUCUUCGAGCCAAAUAAUAAUUUAAAAAACAAGUCAAGAGGCCCAACAACAGAAUAGAUUACACAGAAAGAAUUUCUGAACUUGACAUGCUUUGAACAGAACAGGUUAAAAACAAAGGAAAAUG
RNAcentral lists this long non-coding RNA (2174 nucleotides) under Mus musculus (house mouse). Its description in RNAcentral is "long non-coding RNA chr10:110768009-110770183". The record is from RNAcentral. Lineage: Eukaryota; Metazoa; Chordata; Mammalia; Rodentia; Muridae.